GACGAGGGGUCCUAGCGUUGUUCGGAAUCAUUGGGCGUAAAGCGUAGGUAGGCGGCUAUUUAAGUCAGGUGUGAAAGCCCCGGGCUCAACCCGGGAAGUGCAUUUGAUACUGGAUAGCUUGAGUAUGGGAGAGGAUAGUGGAAUUCCUGGUGUAGUGGUGAAAUACGUAGAUAUCAGGAGGAACACCGGCGGCGAAGGCGGCUAUCUGGCCCUAUACUGACGCUGAGCUACGAAAGCGUGGGGAGCAAACAGG
This 253-nucleotide ribosomal RNA is filed under the name uncultured bacterium. Its description in RNAcentral is "partial 16S ribosomal RNA". It matches the Rfam family "Bacterial small subunit ribosomal RNA", at positions 524 to 776 of the family's 1533-position model. The record is from RNAcentral.